UAAAAACCCCGACUUCGGAAGGGGUGUAUUUAUUAGAUACAAAACCAAUGCCCUUCGGGGCUCUUUGGUGAUUCAUGAUAACUAUACGAAUCGCACGGCCUUGCGCCGGCGAUGGUUCAUUCAAAUUUCUUCCCUAUCAACUUUCGAUGUUUGGGUAUUGGCCAAACAUGGUUGCAACGGGUAACGGAGGGUUAGGGCUCGACCCCGGAGAAGGAGCCUGAGAAACGGCUACUACAUCCAAGGAAGGCGGCAGGCGCGCAAAUUACCCAAUCCCGACUCGGGGAGGUGGUGACAAUAAAUACUAAUGCUAGGCGGUUUCUGGCGGUGUUGUUGGAGGAAUGACAAUUAUUAUCCCUUAUUAACGAGGAAUUAUAGGAGGGGUAGUGUGGUGCCAGCGGCCGCGGUUACUCCAGCUAUAAUAGAGUAUAAUAAAGUUGUUGUGGUUAAAAAGCUAGUAGUUGAACCUUGGGCCUGGCUGGCAGGUCCGCCUCACCGCGUGCACUGGUUCGGCGGGGUCUUUCCCUCUGUGGAACCCCAUACCCUUUACUGGGCGUGGCGGGGAAACAGGACAUUUUA
This 576-nucleotide ribosomal RNA is filed under the name uncultured eukaryote. RNAcentral describes it as "bacterial SSU rRNA". It matches the Rfam family "Eukaryotic small subunit ribosomal RNA", at positions 174 to 754 of the family's 1831-position model. The record is from RNAcentral.